GGAACGAACUUCGGGUUAGUGGCGGACGGGUGAGUAACGCGUGAGAAUCUGCCCUCAGGAGGGGGAUAACGGUUGGAAACGACCGCUAAUACCCCAUAUGCCGAGAGGUGAAAUGAAUUUCGCCUGAGGAUGAGCUCGCGUCUGAUUAGUUAGUUGGUGGGGUAAUGGCCUACCAAGACAUCGAUCAGUAGCUGGUCUGAGAGGAUGAUCAGCCACACUGGGACUGAGACACGGCCCAGACUCCUACGGGAGGCAGCAGUGGGGAAUAUUGGACAAUGGGCGCAAGCCUGAUCCAGCCAUACCGCGUGUGUGAAGAAGGCCCUAGGGUUGUAAAGCACUUUAAGUUGGGAAGAAAAGUUAUUGGUUAAUAUCCAAUAGCCGUGACAUUACCAUCAGAAUAAGGACCGGCUAAUUCCGUGCCAGCAGCCGCGGUAAUACGGAAGGUCCAAGCGUUAUCCGGAAUUAUAGGGUUUAAAGGGUCCGCAGGCUGUUUGUUAAGUCAGAGGUGAAAUCCUACCGCUCAACGGUAGAACUGCCUUUGAUACUGGCAAACUUGAGUUAUUGUGAAGUGGUUAGAAUGUGUGGUGUAGCGGUGCAAUGCAUAGAUAUCACACAGAAUACCAAUUGCGAAGGCAGAUCACUAACCAUAUUCUGACGCUCAGGAACGACAGCGUGGGUAGCGAACAGGAUUAGAUACCUGGUAGUCACGCCGAUAACGAUGAUACUAGCUGUAUUCUACUCCGGUCGAU
This 749-nucleotide ribosomal RNA is filed under the name uncultured Alphaproteobacteria bacterium. RNAcentral's name for it is "bacterial SSU rRNA". It matches the Rfam family "Bacterial small subunit ribosomal RNA", at positions 76 to 841 of the family's 1533-position model. Lineage: Bacteria; Pseudomonadati; Pseudomonadota; Alphaproteobacteria. The record is from RNAcentral.